UACGUAGGGGGCAAGCGUUGUCCGGAUUUAUUGGGCGUAAAGAGCGUGUAGGCGGCUAGGUAGGUCCGUUGUGAAAACUCGAGGCUCAACCUCGAGACGUCGAUGGAAACCAUCUAGCUAGAGUCCGGAAGAGGAGAGUGGAAUUCCUGGUGUAGCGGUGAAAUGCGCAGAUAUCAGGAAGAACACCCGUGGCGAAGGCGGCUCUCUGGUACGGGACUGACGCUGAGACGCGAAAGCGUGGGGAGCGAACGGG
Molecule: ribosomal RNA, 253 nt
Filed under: uncultured bacterium
Lineage: Bacteria
Description: partial 16S ribosomal RNA
Rfam family: Bacterial small subunit ribosomal RNA
Source: RNAcentral